RNAcentral lists this long non-coding RNA (354 nucleotides) under Nicotiana benthamiana. RNAcentral's name for it is "long non-coding RNA (NBEN_LNC013137)". The record is from RNAcentral. Lineage: Eukaryota; Viridiplantae; Streptophyta; Magnoliopsida; Solanales; Solanaceae.
GGUUGAGCAAACUGUCCUGAAGAAAUUCUGGCCGGAAAGUACUGUAGCUGCCGGAAAAGUUAUUGUCGCCGGAAAAAAUUGAAAGUUGUCGGAAUCGAACAAAAAAAAGUAUGGGUAGGGUCGGAAUUGAGAGCCGACCAAACUGUCCUUCUGGAGCAAAGUGAAAAAGUGGCCGGAAGGGCCCUCACGCGCCGAGGAUCUUGCCGGCGCGUGGGGGCGCGUGAGUUGAGCUUUUCCGGUGAAUUUUUCUGGGGUUGGUCGGAAUACUAUUCCGAACCUCGUGGUGGUCUCGGAUUUGGCACAACACCAACAAAAAGGGUAGUUUUAGUUACGGACAGCCUCUUAAGUCGCCGG